AAUGGGCGCAGCCUGAUCCAGCCAUGCCGCGUGGGUGAGAAGGCCUUCGGGUUGUAAAGCCCUUUUGUUGGGAAAGAAAUCCAGCUGGCUAAUACCCGGUUGGGAUGACGGUACCCAAAGAAUAAGCACCGGCUAACUUCAUGCCAGCAGCCGCGAUAA
This 159-nucleotide ribosomal RNA is filed under the name uncultured bacterium. RNAcentral's name for it is "partial 16S ribosomal RNA". It matches the Rfam family "Bacterial small subunit ribosomal RNA", at positions 370 to 523 of the family's 1533-position model. The record is from RNAcentral.